UACGGGGGGAGCAAGCGUUGUUCGGAUUUACUGGGCGUAAAGGGCGCGUAGGCGGCCACCUCAAGUCGAACGUGAAAUCCCCGGGCUCAACCCGGGAACUGCGUCCGAUACUGGAAGGCUUGAAUCCGGGAGAGGGAUGUGGAAUUCCAGGUGUAGCGGUGAAAUGCGUAGAUAUCUGGAGGAACACCGGUGGCGAAGGCGACAUCCUGGACCGGUAUUGACGCUGAGGCGCGAAAGCCAGGGGAGCAAACGGG
RNAcentral lists this ribosomal RNA (254 nucleotides) under uncultured bacterium. RNAcentral's name for it is "partial 16S ribosomal RNA". It matches the Rfam family "Bacterial small subunit ribosomal RNA", at positions 524 to 776 of the family's 1533-position model. The record is from RNAcentral.